This 688-nucleotide ribosomal RNA is filed under the name Phycisphaeraceae bacterium. RNAcentral's name for it is "bacterial SSU rRNA". It matches the Rfam family "Bacterial small subunit ribosomal RNA", at positions 1 to 728 of the family's 1533-position model. Lineage: Bacteria; Pseudomonadati; Planctomycetota; Phycisphaerae; Phycisphaerales; Phycisphaeraceae. The record is from RNAcentral.
CAAUUGAAGAGUUUGAUUCUGGCUCAGAUUGAACGCUGGCGGCAUGGCUAAAACAUGCAAGUCGAACGAGAACCCCGCAAGGGGGGACAGUGGCGGAAGGGUUAGUAAUACCAUCGAACGUACCCCGAGGUGAGGGAUAGGCAUGGGAAACUGUGCGUAAUACCUCAUAAUCUCCAAGGAGCAAAGGCUUGCUGCCUUGGGAGCGGCGAUGGUCCUAUCAGGUAGUUGGCGGGGUAAAGGCCCACCAAGCCUAAGACGGGUAGCGGGUGUGAGAGCACGACCCGCAACAUCGGGACUGAGACACUGCCCGGACUCCUACGGGAGGCUGCAGUAACGAAUAUUCCGCAAUGCGCGAAAGCGUGACGGAGCAAUGCCGCGUGCAGGAUGAAGCAGCUUCGCUGUGUAAACUGCUGUCAGGGGCUACUAACUUAUGAAGAGCCUCAGAGGAAGGACCGGCUAAACUCGUGCCAGCAGCCGCGGUAAUACGAGUGGUCCAAGCGUUAGUCGGAAUCACUGGGCUUAAAGGGUGCGUAGGCGGAUCGGAAAGCGUCUUGUGAAAUCCCCCGGCUCAACCGGGGAACAGCAGGGCGAACUACCGGUCUUGAGGAAGGUAGAGGCCGGCGGAACGAUCGGUGGAGCGGUGGAAUGCGUAGAGAUCGAUCGGAACGCCAAAGGUGAAGACAGCCGG